AUUUUCGUUUUCUAUAAAAAUAAAGAUAAAAUCAACCGAAAUCCAAUACCUUCCACCUCAAGCUUUCACGUCGGGUUCACCACUUAUGUCGUAUUACGUGCUUUCCUGCUCGAGAACGCGCCGGGCGUCUGGCUGUAGAAGGUAGUAUGGAGAUCCGCCGAUAGUCAAGCAGUGUAUCAGUUUUUACUGCUGGACUAUAAAUGACUG
Molecule: long non-coding RNA, 207 nt
Filed under: Physcomitrium patens
Lineage: Eukaryota; Viridiplantae; Streptophyta; Bryopsida; Funariales; Funariaceae
Description: long non-coding RNA (PPAT_LNC000603)
Source: RNAcentral